AUACAAUGGUCGGUACAAGGAGUUGCCAACCCGCGAGGGGGAGCUAAUCCCACAAAGCCGAUCGUAGUCCGGAUCGCAGUCUGCAACUCGACUGCGUGAAGUCGGAAUCGCUAGUAAUCGUGGAUCAGCAUGUCACGGUGAAUACGUUCCCGGGUCUU
RNAcentral lists this ribosomal RNA (158 nucleotides) under uncultured Rhodocyclaceae bacterium. Its description in RNAcentral is "partial 16S ribosomal RNA". It matches the Rfam family "Bacterial small subunit ribosomal RNA", at positions 1225 to 1382 of the family's 1533-position model. Lineage: Bacteria; Pseudomonadati; Pseudomonadota; Betaproteobacteria; Rhodocyclales; Rhodocyclaceae. The record is from RNAcentral.